GGGCGUGUAGCUCAGUUGGUUAGAGCGCUGUCCUGAUAAGACAGAGGUCUUUGGUUCGAGUCCAAACAUGCCCA
RNAcentral lists this transfer RNA (74 nucleotides) under Minisyncoccota bacterium. RNAcentral's name for it is "tRNA-Ile". It matches the Rfam family "tRNA". From Rfam's summary of the family: Transfer RNA (tRNA) molecules are approximately 80 nucleotides in length. Their secondary structure includes four short double-helical elements and three loops (D, anti-codon, and T loops). The record is from RNAcentral. Lineage: Bacteria; Bacillati; Minisyncoccota.